GAUUAUGAAUUCGUAUUUUAGUUAAAAACAUCUUCAUGUGGGAUUUGUUUCUUACAGACACGCAGCUUUUGGCUUCUGAAGAUGUUAAUUGAUGGACUGGAGUGGUGUUUUUUACAUUUUUAAGCUCUCAUUCUGCCGGCACCCAUUCACUGCAGAGGAUCCACUGGUGAGCAAAUGAUGCAAUGCUACUUUUCCCCAAAUCUGAUGAAGAAACAAACUCAUCUACAUCUUGGAUGACCUGAGGCACCACUGCACUGUACAAGCAGCCAAAAAUAAAUGCGUAAUGCCCUACAGAUGCUCUCACCUGGCAGCUGUAACAAGUACUUGUACGGUUCCAGCAGAAUCCUUUCAGAAGUUGCUCUUUCGUCUCCGUCCAUCCCUCUGUUUUUACAAAGAAACCCGCUGAGAAAAAGAGAGCGAGAGUUAAAACACAGCCUCCACAGAAGCAGCUGGAGUGACACAAAGCAGUAGAUGAGCGCUUAAGCAUCAGUGGGAACAAUUUAUUAUAGCAUGUCGCUGUCAUGGAAGUGCAGCGCUCGGCUCAUAAACAAUUUCAUGGACACAACAGCGACAUGAUUCUGCAGUCGCAUCCCAUCACUCAAACAGACACGGCCUCUUCUGGGCCUGUUACGGCCGACACAGAGAUCCAGACAAGAAACAACAACCAGUAUGACGGGGCUUUUCUGUGGAUGCUCGUUUCCGCCACAGGGGAAAAAUGUGAUUAAAAAAGGUAAUUGCAAC
Molecule: long non-coding RNA, 741 nt
Organism: Labeo rohita (rohu)
Lineage: Eukaryota; Metazoa; Chordata; Actinopteri; Cypriniformes; Cyprinidae
Exons: 3
Source: RefSeq, a predicted model, not a curated record